CAGGGAGACAAAACUGAUUGUGAUGUUUGGAUUUUUUAUCUUCAAGCCAUAAUCCUGUCACCUUAGGUCGAUCGGUACCUCACUUUGAUAUUUGAAAAGUAUUAAAUUCAGUUCCUAAACUUUGUCUAGGUCACACCCAACAAGGGUUCUCCUGGGCCAUUAGCUCAGGUGGUUAGAGCGCACCCCUGAUAAGGGUGAGGUCCCUGGUUCAAGUCCAGGAUGGCCCAUUCGGUGUUGGGGGUAUAGCUCAGUUGGUAGAGCGCCUGCUUUGCAAGCAGGAUGUCAGCGGUUCGAGUCCGCUUACCUCCACUGAUCGACCUUCUGAAAUCGAAGUUUAUGGAGACUUUUCUUCGAUGUGAUCUAGAAUUUGUUCCUGAAUAAAUGAACCUAGCUUCUUAUCAUUCCAACUAAAAUAAUUAGUUUUGGUUGAUAUGACGCUGGGCUCUCCUGCAAUUUAACUUGCGGAGUAGUUCAGUAGAACCUUGACAACUGCAUAGGUGAGUCUGGAAAGAAUAAAGCAUCUCAUGGAUGAAUUAUUUUCCUGAACUGAGAUAUAUAGAUGUUUUAUAUAACAUCUAUAUUACUAAAUUCUUUGAGGAUAAUAGUUUUAAUUCUUGAGCAAGAGCCAAGACUUUAUAACGUUUUUUGUUAUAAAGAAUUAU
Molecule: transfer RNA, 662 nt
Filed under: uncultured cyanobacterium
Lineage: Bacteria; Bacillati; Cyanobacteriota
Description: partial 16S-23S ribosomal RNA intergenic spacer
Rfam family: tRNA (bases 237-309)
Source: RNAcentral